GCUUUUAAAGGAAAACUAGUCUUCCUCUGGUUUUAGGAUCCAGCACCUCUUGGCGCAAAUCCAAGUAAAAGCU
This 73-nucleotide transfer RNA is filed under the name Allobates undulatus. RNAcentral's name for it is "tRNA-Leu". The record is from RNAcentral. Lineage: Eukaryota; Metazoa; Chordata; Amphibia; Anura; Aromobatidae.